Molecule: long non-coding RNA, 279 nt
Filed under: Lathyrus oleraceus (garden pea)
Lineage: Eukaryota; Viridiplantae; Streptophyta; Magnoliopsida; Fabales; Fabaceae
Description: Pisum sativum (pea) long non-coding RNA (PSAT_LNC008150)
Source: RNAcentral
GCAGGACCUUCUGCCCUCUGAGCCUUGCGGAUUUCAGACACCUACACCAUAUUUGAUAUAUUUGGUAGCAGAAUUCAAUUGGUUUUGAGUACUUGUUAUGGAAAAAGAAAGGGUUGGAAGAGUGUUGUGGUGGAAAGAUGGUUGCAGAGGGAAGAUUUUAUAUGAUGAAGAGAAGAGUGAACAUUGAAGGGUGGGUAGGUGAAAGCAUCACGUGCAUCACUCAAACACACGUAACAUUUUCAUACUUCAUUUUUUUAGUCUAAUAUUCAAACACAACUU